Molecule: unclassified non-coding RNA, 1208 nt
Filed under: Hevea brasiliensis (rubber tree)
Lineage: Eukaryota; Viridiplantae; Streptophyta; Magnoliopsida; Malpighiales; Euphorbiaceae
Source: RNAcentral
GCUAACCCUCAUUUCCUCUUCUAUAAAACCUCGCUUUCCCUUCUCUCCUUCAUUUCACCUCCUCUCUCUCGCUCUUUGUAUCUCUUCGUCCUCUCUCUCGCUCUUUGUAUCUCUUCGUCCUCUCUCUGCAUCUCUGACUGAAAUUCAAAGCUCUCGCUUUUUUUAACGAUACCGAGCAAUAAUGCGUGAGAUCCUUCACGUUCAAGGGGGGCAAUGCGGCAACCAAAUCGGAGCCAAGUUCUGGGAAGUUGUAUGCACCGAGCACGGCAUAGAUUCUACUGGUCGCUACCAAGGGGAUUCAGAUCUUCAGCUUGAAAGAAUCAAUGUCUACUACAAUGAGGCCAGUUGCGGCCGCUUUGUCCCUCGUGCGGUACUCAUGGAUUUGGAACCCGGUACCAUGGACAGCAUCAGAUCUGGAACUUAUGGUCAGAUUUUUAGGCCUGAUAACUUCGUCUUCGGCCAGUCUGGUGCUGGUAAUAACUGGGCCAAAGGACACUACACUGAAGGUGCAGAGCUUAUUGAUUCUGUUCUUGAUGUCGUUCGAAAGGAGGCUGAGAAUUGUGACUGCCUGCAAGGGUUCCAGGUGUGCCAUUCUCUUGGAGGUGGUACCGGAUCUGGAAUGGGGACGCUCUUGAUUUCCAAAAUUAGGGAAGAGUACCCAGAUAGGAUGAUGAUGACUUUCUCUGUGUUCCCAUCUCCCAAGGUUUCUGAUACAGUUGUGGAGCCUUACAAUGCCACUUUGUCUGUCCAUCAGCUUGUGGAAAAUGCAGAUGAGUGCAUGGUUCUUGACAAUGAGGCCUUGUAUGACAUUUGCUUCCGGACACUGAAGCUCACCACUCCCAGUUUUGGUGACUUGAAUCACUUGAUAUCUGCAACCAUGUCUGGAGUUACAUGCUGCUUGAGGUUCCCUGGCCAGUUGAACUCUGAUCUCAGAAAGCUUGCAGUGAACCUCAUUCCAUUCCCACGUCUUCACUUCUUCAUGGUGGGUUUUGCCCCUCUUACUUCGCGUGGGUCACAGCAGUACCGAGCUCUAACUGUUCCUGAGCUCACUCAGCAAAUGUGGGAUGCAAAGAACAUGAUGUGCGCAGCUGACCCAAGACAUGGUCGUUAUUUGACAGCCUCAGCUAUGUUCCGUGGCAAGAUGAGUACAAAGGAAGUUGAUGAGCAGAUGCUGAAUGUGCAGAACAAGAACUCCUCCUACUUUGUGG